UAAAAAAAUUUCAUUCUUUCAGUGUAAAAAGAAAAAAAACUGCAGAGAGGAAAAAACAUUCUCUCAAUCCUUCCCCUUUCCGGUCGAAUGGGCCACCGUCGGCCCCGCCGUGGGCGGUGGUCGGAAGCCCAAACGUCGGGCUUUUAAGCCCUGCUUCAAGGACCACUGAAGACCAAGUCUUCAUAGCCUCGGGGUCACGAGAGAAAAAUAAAUCGUCGCCCUCCUUGCCCGAUUUCGGUGACCCGGAGUAGGACUCCGGCGACGAUGCUCGCAGGGCGAUUCCGAUGGAGCAAGUGCACGGCGCCGGUGCAGAUGACACGUGCGGUGAUGGGACAAGGGCGGUGGCAACAGGUCCUAGCAUGCGGCGCACUAGGGUUAGGUUUUUUUUAUUUUUGCUGAAAUUGUUUUAAGUUUGGGCCAUGGUUGGUUUGGGUUUGGGCCGUUUGGGCCUGUAAUGUCAUUUGGGUAUUGGGCUAGUGUUUAGGUGGGUAGUUAGGCUUGAAUGGACUGUGGACCUUUGUUUAAUUUAGGCCCGGGUAAAAUUGGGCCUGUACAACCUUAUCACCCGAAUUCUCUUGGGUUCGACCUUUGGAAUACUUCGUGUUCCAUUGUAACAUGAAAAUAUUACAAUUGACCUAUCACACUUACAAAUAA
Gossypium raimondii (Peruvian cotton) is the source of this 654-nucleotide long non-coding RNA. RefSeq lists it as uncharacterized. Lineage: Eukaryota; Viridiplantae; Streptophyta; Magnoliopsida; Malvales; Malvaceae. The transcript is spliced from 2 exons. The record is from RefSeq and is a predicted model, not a curated record.